RNAcentral lists this ribosomal RNA (297 nucleotides) under uncultured bacterium. RNAcentral's name for it is "partial 16S ribosomal RNA". It matches the Rfam family "Bacterial small subunit ribosomal RNA", at positions 337 to 631 of the family's 1533-position model. The record is from RNAcentral.
CCCUACAGGGGGCAGCAGUGAGGAAUAUGGGUCAAUGGCCGAGAGGCUGAACCAGCCAAGUCGCGUGAGGGAUGACGGCCCUACGGGUUGUAAACCUCUUUUGUCGGGGAGCAAGACCCGCCUCGUGCAGGCGGAGCGAGAGUACCCGAAGAAAAAGCAUCGGCUAACUCCGUGCCAGCAGCCGCGGUAAUACGGAGGAUGCGAGCGUUAUCCGGAUUUAUUGGGUUUAAAGGGUGCGCAGGCGGCGAGUUAAGUCAGCGGUAAAAUUUCGGGGCUCAACCCCGGCCGGCCGUUGAA